GCAGGCCUAACACAUGCAAGUCGAACGGUAACAGGAAACAGCUUGCUGUUUCGCUGACGAGUGGCGGACGGGUGAGUAAUGUCUGGGAAACUGCCUGAUGGAGGGGGAUAACUACUGGAAACGGUAGCUAAUACCGCAUAACGUCGCAAGACCAAAGAGGGGGACCUUCGGGCCUCUUGCCAUCGGAUGUGCCCAGAUGGGAUUAGCUAGUAGGUGGGGUAACGGCUCACCUAGGCGACGAUCCCUAGCUGGUCUGAGAGGAUGACCAGCCACACUGGAACUGAGACACGGUCCAGACUCCUACGGGAGGCAGCAGUGGGGAAUAUUGCACAAUGGGCGCAAGCCUGAUGCAGCCAUGCCGCGUGUAUGAAGAAGGCCUUCGGGUUGUAAAGUACUUUCAGCGGGGAGGAAGGGAGUAAAGUUAAUACCUUUGCUCAUUGACGUUACCCGCAGAAGAAGCACCGGCUAACUCCGUGCCAGCAGCCGCGGUAAUACGGAGGGUGCAAGCGUUAAUCGGAAUUACUGGGCGUAAAGCGCACGCAGGCGGUUUGUUAAGUCAGAUGUGAAAUCCCCGGGCUCAACCUGGGAACUGCAUCUGAUACUGGCAAGCUUGAGUCUCGUAGAGGGGGGUAGAAUUCCAGGUGUAGCGGUGAAAUGCGUAGAGAUCUGGAGGAAUACCGGUGGCGAAGGCGGCCCCCUGGACGAAGACUGACGCUCAGGUGCGAAAGCGUGGGGAGCAAACAGGAUU
RNAcentral lists this ribosomal RNA (748 nucleotides) under Shigella flexneri. Its description in RNAcentral is "bacterial SSU rRNA". It matches the Rfam family "Bacterial small subunit ribosomal RNA", at positions 42 to 779 of the family's 1533-position model. The record is from RNAcentral. Lineage: Bacteria; Pseudomonadati; Pseudomonadota; Gammaproteobacteria; Enterobacterales; Enterobacteriaceae.